This is a long non-coding RNA of Ostrea edulis (European flat oyster), 568 nucleotides long. RefSeq lists it as uncharacterized. The transcript has 2 exons. Lineage: Eukaryota; Metazoa; Mollusca; Bivalvia; Ostreida; Ostreidae. The record is from RefSeq and is a predicted model, not a curated record.
CGAUCAGCGAUGGAGAAAGUGGUGUCGGUUUAGCUUACUAAGUUGAAAACGCAAUUGUUGAUCACAGAUUUCAACAGAAAUUCAAAGGAUCUGAGAGAAUUGAUGGUGGAUAUGAUGGGUCAAGUUAACGUUAAGCUCUUAGUCAGGUUUUUGGAAAGAAACAACGGUAUGUUCAUCGCUAGGACUCGCGGUUGUAGCCAUGCAGGAGACGAUUCAAGACAGUAGGACAGAUUUAGACAAAGUGCAGGAUUUUAAUGAAGACUCGCACCGGUACCCUGACAUGAACAUGUAAAUUUUUCGAGCCUCGAAACCAGCCUCGCUUAUGAUCAUGCCGAGUCAUAGCCGUGAUGGAAGUUGCCAGGAAACAACAGGUUAACUUAUCAUCAUAAAGUAAAUAGGCUUAUAACUCUGCCUACAUGUUUUCGCUUCCAAUAUCAUAGAACUUUAUUUUAUAAAUUCGCCAUGCAGAAGUUGCAGACGGUAUUUAAAACUGUAUAAAAUGAAACAACAGAACGAUAUGAAAUCGAUGAAAUUCUUGUUUGUUUACAAAAUAAACUGUAUAAAUAUC